RNAcentral lists this transfer RNA (93 nucleotides) under Eubacteriales bacterium OttesenSCG-928-K08. RNAcentral describes it as "tRNA-Ser". It matches the Rfam family "tRNA". From Rfam's summary of the family: Transfer RNA (tRNA) molecules are approximately 80 nucleotides in length. Their secondary structure includes four short double-helical elements and three loops (D, anti-codon, and T loops). Further hydrogen bonds mediate the characteristic L-shaped molecular structure. tRNAs have two regions of fundamental functional importance: the anti-codon, which is responsible for specific mRNA codon recognition, and the 3' end, to which the tRNAs corresponding amino acid is attached (by aminoacyl-tRNA synthetases). tRNAs cope with the degeneracy of the genetic code in two manners: having more than one tRNA (with a specific anti-codon) for a particular amino acid; and 'wobble' base-pairing, i.e. permitting non-standard base-pairing at the 3rd anti-codon position. Lineage: Bacteria; Bacillati; Bacillota; Clostridia; Eubacteriales. The record is from RNAcentral.
GGAGACGUACCCAAGUGGCUAUAAGGGGCUCCCCUGCUAAGGGAGUAGGCUGGGAUAACUGGUGCGAGAGUUCGAAUCUCUCCGUCUCCGCCA